This 465-nucleotide ribosomal RNA is filed under the name Vreelandella stevensii. RNAcentral's name for it is "partial 16S ribosomal RNA". It matches the Rfam family "Bacterial small subunit ribosomal RNA", at positions 338 to 795 of the family's 1533-position model. Lineage: Bacteria; Pseudomonadati; Pseudomonadota; Gammaproteobacteria; Oceanospirillales; Halomonadaceae. The record is from RNAcentral.
CCUACGGGGGGUAGCAGUGGGGAAUAUUGGACAAUGGGGGCAACCCUGAUCCAGCCAUGCCGCGUGUGUGAAGAAGGCCCUCGGGUUGUAAAGCACUUUCAGUGAGGAAGAACGCCUGGUGGUUAAUACCCAUCAGGAAAGACAUCACUCACAGAAGAAGCACCGGCUAACUCCGUGCCAGCAGCCGCGGUAAUACGGAGGGUGCGAGCGUUAAUCGGAAUUACUGGGCGUAAAGCGCGCGUAGGUGGCUUGAUAAGCCGGUUGUGAAAGCCCCGGGCUCAACCUGGGAACGGCAUCCGGAACUGUCAAGCUAGAGUGCAGGAGAGGAAGGUAGAAUUCCCGGUGUAGCGGUGAAAUGCGUAGAGAUCGGGAGGAAUACCAGUGGCGAAGGCGGCCUUCUGGACUGACACUGACACUGAGGUGCGAAAGCGUGGGUAGCAAACAGGAUUAGAUACCCUUGUAGUC